GGGAACGUGCCCUUCGGUUCGGAAUAACUCAGGGAAACUUGAGCUAAUACCGGAUACGCCCUUUUGGGGAAAGGCUUGACUGCCGAAGGAUCGGCCCGCGUCUGAUUAGCUGGUUGGUGAGGUUAUGGCUCACCAAGGCGACGAUCAGUAGCUGGUCUGAGAGGAUGAUCAGCCACACUGGGACUGAGACACGGCCCAGACUCCUACGGGAGGCAGCAGUGGGGAAUAUUGGACAAUGGGGGCAACCCUGAUCCAGCCAUGCCGCGUGAGUGAUGACGGCCUUAGGGUUGUAAAGCUCUUUUCUCCGGGACGAUAAUGACGGUACCGGAGGAAUAAGCCCCGGCUAACUUCGUGCCAGCAGCCGCGGUAAUACGAAGGGGGCUAGCGUUGCUCGGAAUCACUGGGCGUAAAGGGCGCGUAGGCGGCUGAUUUAGUCGAGGGUGAAAGCCCGUGGCUCAACCACGGAAUGGCCUUCGAUACUGGUUGGCUUGAGACCGGAAGAGGACAGCGGAACUGCGGGU
Molecule: ribosomal RNA, 521 nt
Filed under: uncultured bacterium
Lineage: Bacteria
Description: bacterial SSU rRNA
Rfam family: Bacterial small subunit ribosomal RNA
Source: RNAcentral